RNAcentral lists this ribosomal RNA (366 nucleotides) under uncultured eukaryote. Its description in RNAcentral is "partial 18S ribosomal RNA". It matches the Rfam family "Eukaryotic small subunit ribosomal RNA", at positions 592 to 976 of the family's 1831-position model. The record is from RNAcentral.
CAAUAGCGUAUAUUAAAGUUGUUGCAGUUAAAAAGCUCGUAGUUGAAUUUCUGGCGGGCGCGCCGGUCUUCCAAGUGUUGUACUGGGCGCAGUCCGCCAUCCUUGUGGAGAGGGCUCGCAUUGAGUUGCGUGUUGGAUCUGCAUCAUUUACUGUGAAAAAAUUAGAGUGUUUAAAGCAGGCUGUCGCUUGAAUACAUUAGCAUGGAAUAAUAAGAUAGGACUUCGGUCUAUUUUGUUGGUUGCGAACCGAGGUAAUGAUUAAUAGGGAUAGUUGGGGGUAUUCAUAUUUAAUUGUCAGAGGUGAAAUUCUUGGAUUUAUGAAAGAUGAACAACUGCGAAAGCAUUUACCAAGGAUGUUUUCAUUAA